Non-coding RNA from Camelina sativa (false flax), 601 nucleotides. The record is from RefSeq and is a predicted model, not a curated record. Lineage: Eukaryota; Viridiplantae; Streptophyta; Magnoliopsida; Brassicales; Brassicaceae.
CAAUAUUAAGACCCCAUCCAACACCGCGCAGAUUCUUGCUGGAAGAGCUGCUGGACGAAGUGGAGGGUUAACAAAAAGUACCCAGUGAGGGGAGAAUCCAGAUAAUAACAAGUAAAAGAAUGUCCUACUAGGCUCUUGUUAUUAAGCUGUUUUAACCUUAUAUAUUAUGCUUUUACUUUGUUUUUUUUUCUUUUUACCUCAUGUGAUUGGUUGUAUUACCAUAUAUAACUUAGCAUGCUGAUAUUCCCAUCCUCAACCCUAUAACCUAGUAAAAAAGAUAAGAAAAGAGAAGAGUGAGAGUUUGUGACAUAGAGUUGGUGUUAAAGUGGGGGUUAGAGGAAGGAGAAGAAAAGCCGAGGAAGAGAGAGAGAGAGUAAGAUGUGACAUUUUGGCUAGCAUUUUCGUCUCUCCUUUUUUCGGAAAUCGGAAGUUAGUGUGUUUGGGUGUAUAGGGUUAGAGAGAGCUGUGGUGGUAUUUGGCUUCUCUGAGUUUGUGUACCUCUGAUUCCUUAUUUGUUUGUUACUCUAUUGCACUCUUUGUGUGAUUUAUUCGUUUGUAUUUUGGGUUUGCUGAUAUAUGAUAUAUGAUUUUUAUAUUCUAA